This 296-nucleotide ribosomal RNA is filed under the name uncultured bacterium. RNAcentral's name for it is "partial 16S ribosomal RNA". The record is from RNAcentral.
GGACUACUGGGGUUUCUAAUCCCAUUCGCUCCCCACGCUUUCGUCCUAGCAGUGUCAGGUGGCACCCAGAAGCCUGCCUACGCUAUUGGUGUUCCGAACGAUAUCAACGCAUUUCACUACUACACCGUUCGUUCCGGCUUCCUCUUUGCCCCUCAAGUUUUACAGUUUCAAAAGACAGUCUCUAAGUUAAGCUUAAAGAUUUCACUUCUGACUUGUAAAACCACCUAUCGGUACGCUUUACGCCCAAUGAUUCCGGAUAACGCUUGAGGUCUCUGUAUUACCGCGGCGGCUGGCAC